Molecule: ribosomal RNA, 477 nt
Filed under: Staphylococcus aureus
Lineage: Bacteria; Bacillati; Bacillota; Bacilli; Caryophanales; Staphylococcaceae
Description: partial 23S ribosomal RNA
Rfam family: Bacterial large subunit ribosomal RNA
Source: RNAcentral
AGAUUAAGUUAUUAAGGGCGCACGGUGGAUGCCUUGGCACUAGAAGCCGAUGAAGGACGUUACUAACGACGAUAUGCUUUGGGGAGCUGUAAGUAAGCUUUGAUCCAGAGAUUUCCGAAUGGGGAAACCCAGCAUGAGUUAUGUCAUGUUAUCGAUAUGUGAAUACAUAGCAUAUCAGAAGGCACACCCGGAGAACUGAAACAUCUUAGUACCCGGAGGAAGAGAAAGAAAAUUCGAUUCCCUUAGUAGCGGCGAGCGAAACGGGAAGAGCCCAAACCAACAAGCUUGCUUGUUGGGGUUGUAGGACACUCUAUACGGAGUUACAAAGGACGACAUUAGACGAAUCAUCUGGAAAGAUGAAUCAAAGAAGGUAAUAAUCCUGUAGUCGAAAAUGUUGUCUCUCUUGAGUGGAUCCUGAGUACGACGGAGCACGUGAAAUUCCGUCGGAAUCUGGGAGGACCAUCUCCUAAGGCUAAA